AGGUGAAUCAUGUUGGAGCCUGUC
This 24-nucleotide non-coding RNA is filed under the name Rattus norvegicus (Norway rat). The record is from RNAcentral. Lineage: Eukaryota; Metazoa; Chordata; Mammalia; Rodentia; Muridae.